CCUACGGGUGGCAGCAGUGGGGAAUAUUGCACAAUGGGGGAAACCCUGAUGCAGCGACGCCGCGUGAGUGAAGAAGUAUUUCGGUAUGUAAAGCUCUUUCAGCAGGGAAGAGAAUGACGGUACCUGAGUACGAAGCCCCGGCUAACUACGUGCCAGCAGCCGCGGUAAUACGUAGGGGUCAAGCGUUUACCGGAUUUACUGGGGUUAAAGGGAGCGUCGGCGGCAAAGAAAGUCUGAAGUGAAAGCCCGCGGCUCAACCGCGGAACUGCUUUGGAAACUUUUUUGCUGGAGUACCGGAGAGGUAAGCGGAAUUCCUGGUGUAGCGGUGAAAUGCGUAGAUAUUAGGAGGAACACCAGUGGCGAAGGCGGCUUACUGGACGGUAACUGACGUUGAGGCACGAAAGCGUGGGGAGCAAACAGGAUUAGAUACCCCUGUAGUC
This 440-nucleotide ribosomal RNA is filed under the name uncultured bacterium. RNAcentral describes it as "partial 16S ribosomal RNA". It matches the Rfam family "Bacterial small subunit ribosomal RNA", at positions 338 to 795 of the family's 1533-position model. The record is from RNAcentral.